Molecule: ribosomal RNA, 272 nt
Filed under: uncultured bacterium
Lineage: Bacteria
Description: partial 16S ribosomal RNA
Rfam family: Bacterial small subunit ribosomal RNA
Source: RNAcentral
UUCUCCUACGGGGGGCAGCAGUAGGGAAUCUUCCACAAUGGGCGAAAGCCUGAUGGAGCAACGCCGCGUGGGUGAAGAAGGUCUUCGGAUCGUAAAACCCUGUUGUUAGAGAAGAAAGUGCGUGAGAGUAACUGUUCACGUUUCGACGGUAUCUAACCAGAAAGCCACGGCUAACUACGUGCCAGCAGCCGCGGUAAUACGUAGGUGGCAAGCGUUAUCCGGAUUUAUUGGGCGUAAAGGGUGCGCAGGCGGGCCUUUAAGCCGGCGGUGAA